Molecule: ribosomal RNA, 253 nt
Filed under: uncultured bacterium
Lineage: Bacteria
Description: partial 16S ribosomal RNA
Rfam family: Bacterial small subunit ribosomal RNA
Source: RNAcentral
UACGAAGGGGGCUAGCGUUGUUCGGAUUUACUGGGCGUAAAGCGCGCGUAGGCGGACAUCUAAGUCAGGGGUGAAAUCCCAAGGCUCAACCUUGGAACUGCCUUUGAUACUGGAUGUCUGGAGAUCGGGAGAGGUGAGUGGAAUUCCGAGUGUAGAGGUGAAAUUCGUAGAUAUUCGGAGGAACACCAGAAGCGAAGGCGGCUCACUGGCCCGAUACUGACGCUGAGGCGCGAAAGCGUGGGGAGCAAACAGG